ACGAACGCUGGCGGCGUGCCUAAUACAUGCAAGUAGAACGCUGAAGGCGGAGCUUGCUUCUCUGGAUGAGUUGCGAACGGGUGAGUAACGCGUAGGUAACCUGCCUGGUAGCGGGGGAUAACUAUUGGAAACGAUAGCUAAUACCGCAUAAGAGUAGAUGUUACAUGACAUUUGCUUAAAAGGUGCAAUUGCAUCACUACCAGAUGGACCUGCGUUGUAUUAGCUAGUUGGUGGGGUAACGGCUCACCAAGGCGACGAUACAUAGCCGACCUGAGAGGGUGAUCGGCCACACUGGGACUGAGACACGGCCCAGACUCCUACGGGAGGCAGCAGUAGGGAAUCUUCGGCAAUAGACGGAAGUCUGACCGAGCAACGCCGCGUGAGUGAAGAAGGUUUUCGGAUCGUAAAGCUCUGUUGUAAGAGAAGAACGAGUGUGAGAGUGGAAAGUUCACACUGUGACGGUAUCUUACCAGAAAGGGACGGCUAACUACGUG
RNAcentral lists this ribosomal RNA (494 nucleotides) under uncultured bacterium. RNAcentral describes it as "partial 16S ribosomal RNA". It matches the Rfam family "Bacterial small subunit ribosomal RNA", at positions 29 to 507 of the family's 1533-position model. The record is from RNAcentral.